Molecule: long non-coding RNA, 653 nt
Organism: Pteropus alecto (black flying fox)
Lineage: Eukaryota; Metazoa; Chordata; Mammalia; Chiroptera; Pteropodidae
Exons: 2
Source: RefSeq, a predicted model, not a curated record
ACCCACAGUCAACCAUAGUCUGAAAACAUCAAAUGGAAAAUUCCAGAAAUAAACAAUUCAUAAGUGUUAAAUUGCACGCCAUUCUGCGAAGCAUGAUGAAAUCUCACACCAUCCCCAUUCCAUCCUGCGCAGGAUGUGAAUCAUCACUUUGUCCAGAAUAUCCACGCUGUAUAUAUUUCCCGCCUAUUAGUCAUUUAGUCACUUAACUGUCUUGGUUAUCGGAUUGACUGCUGAGGUACUGCAGUGCUUGUGUUCAAGUAACCCUUCAUUUACCUAUUAAUGGGCUCAAAGUAUAAGAGCAGUGAUGCUGGCAAUUAGGAUAUGCAAAAGAGAAGCUGUAAAGUGCUCCCUUUGAGUGAAAAGGUUGCUGAUACAGAUGAAGACAAAAGCCAGGAGGCAGGAGGAAACGAGAGGAGUUCCACCCUGGGUGUUACUUAGAGGUCUCUAUGAACUGUGCUUAGUCCACUUCCUUUGCAAUCAUCCUUCACAUCAUCCUGAAUUCAUUAAGAUACGGCUCCUGUCAAAGGCCUGCUCAGAAGACCAAAAACUGAAAAUAAGUUGAUUCCGGAUCUGGUGAAAUUCCACCAAUAAUGUUUCCAGAUCUGGUGAAAUUCCACCAAUAAAACUGAAGAGAGAAAUGCAGAACACUCUUA